UUUUUAAUUGAGAUCUUGUAUGAAUGAUUGGACAAGGGAAAUACUGUCUUUGUAUUAAAAAUUGAAUUUAACUUUUAAGUGAAAAGGCUUAAAUGUUCUAAGGGGACGAUAAGACCCUAUAAAACUUUACAUUAAUAUUAAAUUUUAUAGAAUUUGAGAUUAUAAUGAUUAAAUUUAAUUUUUUUGUUUUGUUGGGGAGACAGAAGCUAUAAUUGAUUAUAACUGCUUAAAAAAGAAACACUAAUAGGUGGAAGAAAAUUAUAGAUCCUUUAUAAAGAUUUUUAGAUUAAGUUACUUUAGGGAUAACAGCGUUAUUUUUUUUGAGAGUUCAUAUCGAAAAAAAAGAUUGCGACCUCGAUGUUGAAUUAAAAUAUCUUUAUAAUGUAGGCGUUAUAAAAGAAGGUCUGUUCGACCUUUAAUUUUUUA
RNAcentral lists this ribosomal RNA (426 nucleotides) under Potamonautes sp. 2 SRD-2015. Its description in RNAcentral is "partial 16S ribosomal RNA". The stretch from base 302 to 426 matches the Rfam family "Bacterial large subunit ribosomal RNA", at positions 2473 to 2598 of the family's 2925-position model. The record is from RNAcentral. Lineage: Eukaryota; Metazoa; Arthropoda; Malacostraca; Decapoda; Potamonautidae.